This 484-nucleotide ribosomal RNA is filed under the name uncultured bacterium. RNAcentral's name for it is "partial 16S ribosomal RNA". It matches the Rfam family "Bacterial small subunit ribosomal RNA", at positions 28 to 507 of the family's 1533-position model. The record is from RNAcentral.
AUUGAACGCUGGCGGCAUGCUUUACACAUGCAAGUCGAACGGCAGCGCGGGCUUCGGCCUGGCGGCGAGUGGCGAACGGGUGAGUAAUGCAUCGGAACGUGCCCAGUAGUGGGGGAUAGCCCGUCGAAAGCCGGAUUAAUACCGCAUACGACCUGAGGGUGAAAGCGGGGGACCGAAAGGCCUCGCGCUCUUGGAGCGGCCGAUGUCGGAUUUGCUAGUUGGUGGGGUAAAGGCUUACCAAGGCGACGAUCCGUAGCUGGUCUGAGAGGACGACCAGCCACACUGGGACUGAGACACGGCCCAGACUCCUACGGGAGGCAGCAGUGGGGAAUUUUGGACAAUGGGGGCAAACCUGAUCCAGCCAUGCCGCGUGCGGGAAGAAGGCCUUCGGGUUGUAAACCGCUUUUGUUCGGGAAGAAAUGCUCUGGGCUAAUACCCCGGGGGGAUGACGGUACCGGAAGAAUAAGCACCGGCUAACUACGUG